Molecule: long non-coding RNA, 7512 nt
Organism: Canis lupus familiaris (dog)
Lineage: Eukaryota; Metazoa; Chordata; Mammalia; Carnivora; Canidae
Exons: 2
Source: RefSeq, a predicted model, not a curated record
AUGGGGCUCCCUGCAUGGAGCCUGCUUCUCCCUCUGCCUGUCUCUGCCUCUCCCUCUCUCUCUGUCUCUGUGUUGCUCAUGAAUAAAUAAAUAAAAUCUUUUAAAAAAUAUUUAUAGUGUGCAGGUACUUGAAAAAAGUUCUUACAUUCCUUCUGGACAGUUCGGUGGUAUAAGUUAGAAUUUAAUAGGAAAAAACAUUUUUUAUAAAAUAUUUUGCAUUUAACUUGUAAUUAGAGCAUGUGAAGGUUAUUAAUAUAGUUGGAAAUAAACUUUGCUACCUGUAAUAAUUUUGAUAAUUUUGUUAAAUUAACACUUGGAAUAUAAGUAAAUUAGGUAUAUCAAGAACAGAAACCUUGGUUUUUCUACAGUAUCUGCCACUUAGCGAUUUUUAUUAAAAACUGAACAAGCAAAAAAAGCUUACCAAAGUAUUUAUUCAGGAUCAAUUACACAGAAUGACUGGUUAUAGAGGAAAUUUAUCAGCUGGUGACAAAAAGAAAAAAGAGAAUAUGAAAGUGGAUUACUGCUGUUCAUAUUAAUAAGCACUCAUUGUUGAAGGUAAAUGAUUGAAAUUCCUUACUUUAGCUUGAUUUUAUAAUGACCCUACUCACUUUUGUGGAAUUAAUCAGUUGCUAUGUGAAGUAUCACUUAAAUAGUAUGCAUCAUUUGAUAAUGAAACACUCCAGGAUUUGUAAUCCUUAUGCAGAAUUAUUCUCUUGUUCAUGAUGAUGGGCCUAGUUGCUAAGUCCCCCGUAAGUCAAUCUUCUUUGCCCCAUGGGACUUAGAACAAUUUUUUUGCCUAAUAAAAGUUUACUUUUAAAGGAUGGUAAGAACAAGACAUUCAGAAGAAACAGCAUUUAAAUUAGGUACCGUGAAUGUGAAGAGAUGAUAGAUAUUCAUCAACUAUUUAUUGACCCCUUUGUAUGUGGUGGGCACUGUGCUAGGUGCAAGGAUACAUUGAUAUAUAAAAACCACACAUGUACACCCUAACUUUAAUGAGCCAGUAUUGUUGGAGAGAUAGCCAGUUAGUUUUACAAGUUGUAAAACAAUGGCAACACAUGGAGAAAUAAGUAUGAAUCUGGGGUAUCAAGAUAAUGUAUAAUUGGAAAAAAAAUGAAAACCUUCCCUUAGGCAAUGAUGAUUAAGCUAAAAUCUUGGGGAUAAGUAAAAGUUAAGUAGGCAGAAAUAGGAGGGAGGACUAACCAGGCAGAGGGAACAGUGGAUACGUAGAAGGAAAUGAAAACAGGUUUAGCUGAAGUUGAGUAGUUCAUGAAAUUGAACAGGUUAAGUUGACAGCUGUCCAUACCUGACAUUCUAAGCUGUUUUCUUUGUCAGGGCUACAGUAUCAGAAAUGUGUUUUUAAUAUUAAAAGCUAAUAUAUACAAUUCUAGACCUAUACCCAACAGAUAGGGUUGUACAUAUGCCACAAGAGACAUGUGCAUAAUAACAUGAUUCAUAAUAGCCAAAAAUUGGAAAUAGCAUGUCCAUCAACAUAGAGUGGAUAAAUAGGUAUAAUCCAGUGGAAUGUUAUGCAGUGAAAAUGAAUGAAUGACUGGAGCCAUAAGUAAGAACAUGGAGAGCAUUAUGAGUGAAAGCAGAAGCCACAGAACUUCUGUAUUACUACAUUUAUAUGAAGUUCAAACACAGGCAAUAUUAAGCAAUAGUGUUUAGAGAUACUUAGGUACAAAGUCUUUUUAAAACAGCGUUAAUGAGGUAUAUACUGCAUGCCACAAAGUACAUCCAUCAUAAGUAUACAGUUUGAUAGUUUUUAGUAAGUUUGUAUAGUUGUACAACUGCUACCACAAUCCAAUUGGCAAAGUCAUUUUUAUAAAAAAUAAAGUGACCACCAUAAAAGAUUAGUGGUUACCCUUAAUGUGGAAGGAGGUGGUUUGUAUUUGGAAAGAGUCAUGAAAAGGAAUUCUUUCAUGGGUGUUUAGUUUUUAAUAUCACAUUAAGCUUAUGUUUUAAAAGUCUUUUCUGUAUGUGUGUUAUAAUGCAGUCCUAAAAUUUUUUUAAACUGUUUUAGACAGGUUAUACAUUUAACAUAGGUAAAUUAUCCCACCUUUUUAAAAAAUUAUUAAUUUCCACUAUAAUGCCAGAUGCACUGGAACAGGGACAUUUUCUGACAUGUUCAUCAGUGUAUCCCCAGUACUUUGUGAAUGAAUACAUGAACUGAUUGCUGAAUCCUGAAUUCAAGUCCACAUCUAAUGAAUUUCAAAACCAGUAGCCAUAAUUAUUAGUCUUUAAGAGUGUUAAAGUUAGGCAAAACUUAGAGAUCACUUAAUGAGUAUAAUUAUUUCUCACUAUCCAGAUGAGGAAAUUAGACUUAAGAAAGGAUUGUCUAAAAUAACACUGUUGACCUACCAGUUAAGAGUUUGUCUCCAAACCCCGAAUCUAGUGUUUGUUUCCUUACAACAUAGAAUAAUAGCAGUGCUGCCAUUUAGCAACAUAGGAGUUGCUUUUUACCACAGUCCUUUAUAUAAAUAAGGGAAACAUCUUUGCUUUCCUUUUUAAUCUCUUCUACUUUUUAAAGCCCACUGUUAGUUUUAGGCUUUCAAGUACUAAACAUUAAUAUAGAAUAAUUAAGGCUCAGAGGGCUGUUGUCCUUUGAAUUGUCCUAGUAGUCAGUAAACAUUAGCUAAUAUAUUACCUAUUAAUAAUAAUACUGAAGUCAUUUAGAUAAUGAAACAGGAGAGUUUCCAGAAAUAUACCAAAUUACAUAUGGGAAAUUAGAAUAUGAUAAAGAUAGCUUAUCAAAUUGAUGUAAAAACGUGGAUUAUCAAGAUGCCUGGCUGGGUCAGUCAGAAGAGCAUGCAACUCUCUUGAUCUUGGGGUUGUGAGUUUGAGCCCCAUGUUGGGUGUAGAGAGUAUUAGAGAGAUGAAUUAUUAAAUAAGUGACAGUACUGCAUCAGAUAAGAACAUUCUUGGCUAUAAGAAGCAACCCUGUGAUCAAUGGCUUCACUAAACAGGAGUUUAUGUUUCUCACAUAGUAUGAAAUCCAAGAAUAUAUGAUCCAGGACUAAUACGGCAACUUAAUGUCAUCAAGGACUCAGGCUCAUCUUAUCUUUUUACUCUUCCAGUUUGGAUGGGUGGCUUUCGUUUUCAUUGUAUGAAGGUAGUAGCUGCUUCACCUCUAGGUAUUACAUCUAGAUUCCUAGCAGAAAGAAAGGUGAAAAAGAGACCAGAAGGACCAUGUCAGUUGCUCUUAUUUAAAAGUUAGGACAGAACUGAAAAAGAAAGAAAGGUGAAAAAGAGACCAGAAGGACCAUGUCAGUUGCUCUUAUUUAAAAGUUAGGACAGAACUGCAUCACUUGGCCACCCUUGCUCCAAGAGUCUGGGAAAGUACUUUAAGCUGGGCACAUUCUGCCCUAAACAAAGUCACAGUUCUGUUAGUAAGGGAGAAUGGGUGCCAGGUAGGUAACUAGCAGUGUCUUACAAAAGACACGGCAGGCCACUUGGAAAAAUAUAAAGCUGGAUCUGCACCUCACUUUGUAUGACAAGGUAAAUUACACUUACAUCAAAUAUUCCAAAAACAAGCCAGAAAAAACAGGAAUUAAUUUUUCAUAUACUCUUUGAGUAAGGAUUUCAAAACAUGGUAUAAAACACAAAAACUGAAAAGAAAGAUUAAGAAAAUUGACUACAUGUCAUUUAAAACAAUUCUGUAAGAGAAAGGAUGAACUACAAGUUGAGAAAUAUUUGUAAGACUUAGAUAGACAAUAGGCCUAAUUUCCUUAAUAAAGAAUAUAGAGAUGCCUGGGUGGCUCAGCAGUUGAGCAUCUGCCUUCAGCUCAGGGCAUGAUACUGGAGUCCUGAGAUCAAGUCCCACAUCGGGCUCCCCACAGGGAGCCUGCUUCUCCCUCUGCCCAUGUCUGCCUCUCUCUCUCUGUCUCUCUCAUGAAUAAAUAAAAUCUUUUAAAAUAUAUAUAAAUCAGUAAUUUAUUUUUUUAAAUCAGUAAUUUAAAAUGGUAAAAGGAUAUAUGUGGGCAGUCAUGUAUUACGUGAUAUGUAAUAGUAAAAGCAUAUUUAUAAAUUUUUUUUUAAUUUUUAUUUAUUUAUGAUAGUACACAGAGAGAGAGAGAGAGAGGCAGAGACACAGGCAGAGGGAGAAGCAGGCUCCAUGCCCCGGGAGCCCGAUGCGGGACUCGAUCCCGGGUCUCCAGGAUCACGCCCUGGGCCAAAGGCAGGUGCUAAACCACUGCGCCACCCAGGGAUCCCCAUAUUUAUAAAUUGUUAAUUAAAAUGGGCAAGGUAUAUAAAUGAACAAUCCAAGAGGAAAGAAAUGAUUUUUUUUUAAAGACCAGUGAGUAUGUACAGAUGCACAAAUUCAUUUGUGAUUAAAUGCAGUUUAAACACGGACAAAUUGGCCCCUCAGAUUGCCAAACCUUGGAAAGGUUGGUAAUAUCCAGUAUUAUUUCAGAUUAUGAGCAGAUCUGAUUUAAGCGAUAGACAUGAGCAUGGCUGAUUCAGUUAUUAAAAUAUUGAGAUGCAUUCCUACCAUUGAUAAAUAGUAGUACUGUUAAUUACGUAAAUUCUGAUACAGAUUUGUUAGUUCUAUUGUGACAUGUAUUGGUAAUGGACCUUUUGUUGAUAAUGGCAUAGGAGAAACAUUGCAACAUCUGUUAGCUUGACCUGUGUCAUGUUAAAUAAUGUUGCUACAUUGUGCUUUACCUGUGAAACACUCCAUGCCCUAACAGUUGCUACUUCUAAGUAGUUUCAUUUUUAUUUGCUUUUACUUUUAGUGAAUUGUAGUUCUUAGAUGAAAAGUAAAUACAGUGUUUUAGUAUUUUAAAAUGGGAGAAUUUAUAACAAAAUAUGAGUAAUUGAUACCCCCAAACUGUUUGACAUCUGCUAUCAAUGCAGAACGUGCAUACCCUGUGACCCAGCAAUUCCAUAUGUACACCACCAUAAAUUCAGCACUGUGCAAUGGGAUUUCCUGCAAUGAUGGAAGUAGUCUGUAUUCUGUGUUGUCUGUAUAGCAGCUAUGUGGGCUUUGAAUAGUUGGAGUGGGAUUAAUGCAACUGAGAAUGACCGUUUUUUUUUUUUUUUUUUUUUUUCUAAGUAAGCUCUAAGCCCAACAUGGAGCUUGAUCUCAUGACCCCUGGAUCAAGAGUUGCAUGCUCUACUGACUGAGCCAGCCAGGCACCCGUGAUUUUCAAUUUAAUUUCUUUUAAACUUAAGGAAUUGGUCAAAGCAGUGAGUGUUUAUAGCAGCACUUUUAAUAAUAUCCCAAACUGGAAACAACCCAAAUAGACAAAUCAUGGCACUCUUACACAAUAGGAUAUAUUAGAUUGAAAGAUCUAAAGCUACAUGUAAAAUUAUGGAUGAUCUCAAAAACCAAAUGCUUAGCAAAAAGAAGCCAGACACAAAAUAAUACACACUUUAUGGUUCUAUUUAUGUAAAAUACAAAAACAAGAUGUCAGUUACUCUUCUGUGGGAAGGAAAUAACUGAAAGGAUUUGGAAUUGGGGCAUCUAGGAUGCUGUUCUAUUAAUCUGGGUGCUAGUUACAUGGGUGUGUUCAGUUUGAAAAUAUAUCAAGCUGUACACUUGUAUCAUGCAUACUUUCUAUAAGGAUAUUAUAUUUGAAUUAAACCUUGUAAGAGGAAAGAGGAAAAAAACCCACCCAGAAUGAAGUAUCAGCAAAAUGUUGGUAAGUUUCUUAGCAUUCCUUUUAAAUGUCAUAAAUGUUCACGUUCUAAAACUGGAAAAAUAUGAUAACUCUAGCAUGGGACACUUCUUGAAACAUCCUGAAAUGUCUUUUGGUACUGUGCAAAAAUUAAUAUAAAAUAAAACCAGUGAUUUUCAUUUCUGAAAUAAAAGCAUGACUUAUUGCAAGUGAUGUGAAUGAUGAAUGCAGACAGUAACAAAAAAUGUAGUGUUGAAGAUUGGAAAUGCUAAACUCAUAUUUCAUCCAAAGAGCAAUCGUGUUCACUUAGCUCAUAGUUCAAAGAUUUGUAAUAAUCGGGAGAUGAUUAAGGAGAUCAUAUAUUACUUUCAACAAUAAAGAAUUUGAAAUAGUGUCUUUUAAAAUAUUUUUUCUUUGAUCAAUUGAAAUUCUCAGGUGCAAUUUUUAAAAGUACCAAAUUGUUAACACCAGCUAUUUGUCAUGUUAACAGUUGGUACAAAGAAGGAUUUUUAGGCAUGAAAUGUUUCAUAAAACUUUUAUACACUUUGCAUUUUAGAUUUAUGAUCUCACUUGUAAAACAUACCUGACAAAAACAACAUAAAUUUCAAUCAUUACUGCAAAACUUCAAUUGUUACAAAUAAAAGUGUCUUAAUAAUUUAUUUAAAAGACAAAAUAUCACAAUUUAAAAAAUAGUUUAAUGGCUUUCAUUGAUGCUGUGGAGCUAAAGAUAACAUCUGGGAGAAAAUAACAAACUUUAUUAUAGGUGUUCCAAAGAAAAUGAUUCCAAUAAGAACUAUAUGGAAACUUUAUUGUGUUUUGAACAAACAGUACUAUGAAAUGCUAGGGAGGAAAUCUGGAAUUAUAGCCAAAAUUUAGAAAGCUUUCCAGAUGUUUUAAUUUGGCACAGUCACUACUUUUGAUUAUCUCUAAAUAAUGCAAUAGAGAUAUAAAUAAAUGAAUCAUUUUAAAGUAUUUUCCCAAUAAACUGUUACUUACUAUCAUAAAUUUAUGCUCAAAAACAAAGGUAAAUUUUUCUGGGAAAGUUAAUAUCUGAAGAGCUCUGAAUUGUGAUAAUAAUGAUAAUUGAAAUUACAUUUUGGCUUCAGUGGCAGGCUAUAGUUUUAGAGCUACAAAGGUAAUUUGAAAAUCAUACUAAACCUUGCUUGGUUUCUUCAUUAGAAAUUUGAAAGAGUAGACAUUUAGAAUAUGAAGAAAGUAUUUUUAGAAAUUUGACCUUACUAAAAGAUACUUGAUCAAACAUUAUUUGGGAGUUUUUCUAUGAAUGUUUUGAAUGAAAUUAAUAUUUAAAUAAGUAGACUGAGUAAAACAUUGCCCUCCAUAAGGUGGGUGGACAUCAUCCUGCAGACCUGAAUAGAACAAAAGGGCUGACCCUCCUCCCUUCCUACCCUGCCCUCCCACCUCCGCAUCCCCCACCCGCUAAACUAUAGUUCCUCUGGCUGGCUGCCUUCAAGUUGGGAUAUCUGUUUUCCUGCCUUCGGACUCCACUCUUCCUGGGUUUCAAGCCUGCCAGACUUUGGACUGGAACUAUGCAGUUGCCUUUCCUGGGUCUCCAACUUGCCUGCUUACUCUGCAUAUCUUUGGACUUGUCAGCCUCUGUAAUCAUCCCUGUAGCACUGAAUGCACAAAGCAUCUGGAUGUUGGCUCCUAAAUUCCAUUCUCCAUUAAAAAGAACUAAGAGUCCUUGAAGAAAUGAUUGAUUGCAAGUCUGAGGCAGGGAAAAUACAAGAUGAACCUGGAACAUAUUUUUGUGCUAUGUCAAAGCCACAGGAACCUGUUUGAAGGCGCUCUCAUCAACCAAAUCUCAAAAAAAAAAAAAAAAAAUUGAACAUCAAAAAAAAAAAAAAAACAAAAGCAAAGGAAUAGAACCUAC